This 342-nucleotide ribosomal RNA is filed under the name uncultured fungus. Its description in RNAcentral is "SSU rRNA". It matches the Rfam family "Eukaryotic small subunit ribosomal RNA", at positions 283 to 623 of the family's 1831-position model. The record is from RNAcentral. Lineage: Eukaryota; Fungi.
AGCGGCGAUGGUUCAUUCAAAUUUCUGCCCUAUCAACUUUCGAUGGUAGGAUAGUGGCCUACCAUGGUAUCAACGGGUAACGGGGAAUUAGGGUUCUAUUCCGGAGAGGGAGCCUGAGAAACGGCUACCACAUCCAAGGAAGGCAGCAGGCGCGCAAAUUACCCAAUCCCGACACGGGGAGGUAGUGACAAUAAAUACUGAUACAGGGCUCUUUUGGGUCCUGUAAUUGGAAUGAGUACAAUUUAAAUCCCUUAACGAGGAACAAUUGGAGGGCAAGUCUGGUGCCAGCAGCCGCGGUAAAUUCCAGCUCCAAUAGCGUAUAUUAAAGUUGUUGCAGUUAAA